Molecule: ribosomal RNA, 522 nt
Filed under: uncultured bacterium
Lineage: Bacteria
Description: bacterial SSU rRNA
Rfam family: Bacterial small subunit ribosomal RNA
Source: RNAcentral
AGAGUUUGAUCCUGGCUCAGAUUGAACGCUGGUGACAUGCUUUACACAUGCAAGUCGAACGGCAGCACAGGGAGCUUGCUCCCGGGUGGCGAGUGGCGCACGGGUGAGUAAUACAUCGGAACGUGUCCUGUUGUGGGGGAUAACUGCUCGAAAGGGUGGCUAAUACCGCAUGAGACCUGAGGGUGAAAGCGGGGGAUCGCAAGACCUCGCGCAAUUGGAGCGGCCGAUGCCCGAUUAGCUAGUUGGUGAGGUAAAGGCUCACCAAGGCGACGAUCGGUAGCUGGUCUGAGAGGACGACCAGCCACACUGGGACUGAGACACGGCCCAGACUCCUACGGGAGGCAGCAGUGGGGAAUUUUGGACAAUGGGGGCAACCCUGAUCCAGCCAUGCCGCGUGCAGGAUGAAGGCCUUCGGGUUGUAAACUGCUUUUGUCAGGGACGAAAAGGAUCGUGAUAAUACCAUGGUCUGCUGACGGUACCUGAAGAAUAAGCACCGGCUAACUACGUGCCAUCAGCCGCGGU